Molecule: non-coding RNA, 197 nt
Filed under: Microscilla marina
Lineage: Bacteria; Pseudomonadati; Bacteroidota; Cytophagia; Cytophagales; Microscillaceae
Source: RNAcentral
AAUAUCAAUCAUAAUAAUGGUUUGCUGGAAACAGCAAUUAAAAAGGAAUCGUGUGAAAAUCACGAGCUGACGCGCAACUGUAAAUUGGCGUAAGAGUUCUUAUCUGUUAUUUAUCAAACACCACUGUUCGACUGUGAACGGGAAGGUGGGAUAAGAAUGCCAAAAGCCAGGAGACUUGCCUUAUUAUCAAGAUAACA